Long non-coding RNA from Danio aesculapii, 204 nucleotides. RefSeq lists it as uncharacterized. The transcript is spliced from 2 exons. The record is from RefSeq and is a predicted model, not a curated record. NCBI's taxonomy places the organism in Eukaryota, Metazoa, Chordata, Actinopteri, Cypriniformes, Danionidae.
UAUUAAUGUAUCAAACAGCUUCGCUCAUAUUCCACAGGCUUAAAGAUGAGGCCAAGAAAUGAUGAAGAAUGGAUGAGUGCUGCAAUGUUGAUCUAGUUUACAAAAUACACCUAAAUACACACACACACACACACACACACACACACACACACACACACACACACACACACACACACACACACACACACACACACACACACACAC